CGUACUUAGAACGACGCCUCCC
Molecule: non-coding RNA, 22 nt
Filed under: Arabidopsis thaliana (thale cress)
Lineage: Eukaryota; Viridiplantae; Streptophyta; Magnoliopsida; Brassicales; Brassicaceae
Source: RNAcentral